AUGAUCAGCCACACUGGGACUGAGACACGGCCCAGACUCCUACGGGAGGCAGCAGUGGGGAAUUUUCCGCAAUGGGCGAAAGCUUGACGGAGCAACGCCGCGUGAGGGAUGAAGGCCUCUGGGCUGUAAACCUCUUUUCUCAAGGAAGAAGAUAUGACGGUACUUGAGGAAUAAGCCACGGCUAAUUCCGUGCCAGCAGCCGCGGUAAUACGGGAGUGGCAAGCGUUAUC
Molecule: ribosomal RNA, 230 nt
Filed under: uncultured Prochlorococcus sp.
Lineage: Bacteria; Bacillati; Cyanobacteriota; Cyanophyceae; Synechococcales; Prochlorococcaceae
Description: partial 16S ribosomal RNA
Rfam family: Bacterial small subunit ribosomal RNA
Source: RNAcentral